UACCAGACACCCGAGCCUUACCAAACACCUCAGCCUCGCCAGACACCUUAGCAUUACCAAACACCCGAG
This 69-nucleotide non-coding RNA is filed under the name Vibrio phage 1.034.X._10N.261.46.B7. The record is from RNAcentral. Lineage: Duplodnaviria; Heunggongvirae; Uroviricota; Caudoviricetes; Zobellviridae.